UCGUGUUGUUUCUUCUUUAGUUUUCUAUGUUGUGUCAUGUGUGCUAUUGUUUGUCUGUUUGUCUUUUUCAUUUUUAGCCAUAGCGUUGUCAGUUUAUUUUCGAUUUAUGAGUUUGAUUGUCCCUCUGGUAUCUUUCGUCCCUCUUUUAGCAAUGUGUUAAAAUCUGCUUUGUUAUUAAUUGCCGAAUAAAAAUUAAUAUUACUAUAUAGAGUACUUCGUUAUAUUCUUAGGGUGUAUUGAGUUAAUCAUGAAAUCAUAAGGAAAAAGGUUCCAUCUUAGUGCAAGAAGCAGUUCUUCCUCCAAUCAGUUAC
This 311-nucleotide long non-coding RNA is filed under the name Mytilus galloprovincialis (Mediterranean mussel). The record is from RNAcentral. Lineage: Eukaryota; Metazoa; Mollusca; Bivalvia; Mytilida; Mytilidae.